Molecule: long non-coding RNA, 2277 nt
Filed under: Macaca mulatta (Rhesus monkey)
Lineage: Eukaryota; Metazoa; Chordata; Mammalia; Primates; Cercopithecidae
Description: lncRNA (ENSMMUG00000057189.1)
Source: RNAcentral
GGGCUGUUCGGCCAAGCGCCCGCCGGACAUGGGACGCUGGAGGGUCAGCGGCGUGAAGUCCUCGCCUUCAGCGUCCACGGCUGGGAAAUUGGCUAUCGCCACGGCGGGAACUAGGACUCUGGCUGUGUCCCGGCCCUUCCUCAUCAGUCCACCGGACUCUUGGGCGCGCGCACUGGCGCGGGUGUAGUUUGCUCACCUCUGACCCGUAUUGUCUUGAGAUUAAAGGAAUUGGGAGCUUCUUUUGCUAUUCUUCUAUCUUGGAUGCAUUGGAAGAGCUGCUCCUGGAUCCUGCAGCAGCGAGGAGACCUGAAGACCAGAGGAAACACAGCAAUCCCUGGAUCCUCCUGGAAUCCCCGAUCCCUGUUGCUCCCUCGGGGAGGUUUCUAGUCCCUCUGACUUGAAGCAUGGCUUUCAGAGCCCGGCGCCACCCAGCUUGGGUAUUUGAGACGGGGUUUUGCCAUGUUGCCCAUGCUGGUCUCUAACUCUUGGACUCAAACGAUCCUCCUGCUUUGGCCCCACAAAAUGCUGGGAUUACAGGCAUGAGCCACGGCACCUGGCCAGGAAUUGUUCAUUUUCUUCAGGUUGGAAUGCAGUGGCACGAUCUCGGCUCACUGCAACCUCUGCCUCCCGGGAUCAAGCAAGAUUCUCCUGCCUCAGCCUCCUGAGUACCCGGGAAUACAGACAGAGUAUCGCCCUGUUACCCAGGCUGAAGUGCAGUGGUAAGACCUCGGCUCACUACAACCUCUGCCUCCUAGGUUCAAGAGAUUCUCCUGCCUCAGCCUCCCAAGUAGUUGGGAUUAAACUAAGCUAAACUAUGGGGUUUGGAGGGCUCCUGGAUUAUUGAACACAUAAAGGUUCCUGGAGAGUGGUGCAGCCAGAGAGGGCAUGGAAGCUCUGCACCCCUCCCCCAUCCCUUGUCCUAUGCAUCUCUUCCAUCUGGCUGUUAAUCUACACUCCCUCUAUACCUAUUGACAUACAGUCAACAACAUAAGCAAGAGUCACACACAGUCAAGAAACACCGUUCACGUGGCUGCAAGUGGCCACACACCUAAUGCUAUCACAAUCAUGCACAACGUCAAACAGCCGGCUAGCGCCACACACACACGCACACACGGAGAUGCGCGCGCACACCCACUUGUGCACAGAGACGCACGCACGCACGCAGACACACGUGCGCACAGAGACGCACACACAGACACGUGCGCACACAGAGACGCAAACACAGACACACGUGCACACAGGCAAACAGACGCCAGAGACGCACAGACACACGUGUGCACAGAGAUGCAAACGCAGACACACGCGUGCACACAGUGACGCGCGCACACACAGACACACGCGCGCGCACAGGUCUCGCCCGCGCCAGCUCCGACUCCAGCAGCCUUGGAGUUCCCGCCCAGCCGCGGGCUCCUGGCUCCCUCACCGACUGCAUCUCGCGGGGCGAUCCCGGUCGGGUUCCGCCUGAGCCAAGGCCCCGCACCCAAACCGCGACAGCGGACCCAGAAGCCCGAAGCCCGCAACCCGGCGAAGGAACCCGGACUCAGAGUAGCCUCCGGCACAGAGCCCUCCAAGAAAAGCAGCCCGGGACCCCGACAACCGUGGACAGAGCCGGGGGGGCCAUAAACCCAAACUAGGCAACUCGAGGCAUCAUCAACGGAGGGUCCUUAAGAGACCCUGCACCCAAUCACCCAGGCACCAGGGACUCUGCCAAAGCACGAAUUCGGGCAGGUGGUAGCCUCGAAGCUGGGAGGCUGCAUCACAAGCCUCCUCCUAGAUGCGCGGUGGACCCUGGGAAAUGUAGUCCAGCGCAAGCCACCACCUAGAUGCGCCGUGGACCCUGGGAAAGGUAGUCCAGCGCCAGUCGCCGCCUGGAUGCGCGGUGGACCGUGGGAAAUGUGAUCUGGGUUUUCUGCGCGGGCGCCUUAGGCGCGGAGCUUUCGGGGUUGCAGUGACUGUCCUCCCUUCGAGCCCGCCAGAUCGGAUCCUAGAAUGUCCGGCCGCAGCCCCUUGGCUUAGAACUGGGCCUCUAACGCGGCUGGGGUCAUACACGCCCUCUAGGCGCGGGUUGGUGCACGCGUUGGAAUCUCAGGGGAGGCAGAAAACCCUGCAGCUCUAACCCAGGGAGCUGCCAAAGCGAUUCAGAGGAGCCCGGGGGACGCGUAGCUACAGACCCCGACUCUGCGCAAAUGCAAAUCCAUGGCUCUGGCAAGGGCAGCGAGGCUCGCCGGGUCUGAGGCCGUGGAUCCCUAAACUCAAAAGAAAUAAAACGUCACAUGA